RNAcentral lists this transfer RNA (66 nucleotides) under Bombus hypocrita hypocrita. RNAcentral describes it as "tRNA-Pro". The record is from RNAcentral. RNAcentral also lists the same sequence under 1 other name. Lineage: Eukaryota; Metazoa; Arthropoda; Insecta; Hymenoptera; Apidae.
CAAGAAAUAGUUUAAUUAAAAUAAUAAUUUUGGGGAUUAUUGAUGUUUUGAAAAAAAUUUUUUUGA